Molecule: ribosomal RNA, 399 nt
Filed under: uncultured Sphingomonas sp.
Lineage: Bacteria; Pseudomonadati; Pseudomonadota; Alphaproteobacteria; Sphingomonadales; Sphingomonadaceae
Description: bacterial SSU rRNA
Rfam family: Bacterial small subunit ribosomal RNA
Source: RNAcentral
GGAAUAUUGGACAAUGGGCGCAAGCCUGAUCCAGCAAUGCCGCGUGAGUGAUGAAGGCCUUAGGGUUGUAAAGCUCUUUUACCCGUGAUGAUAAUGACAGUAGCGGGAGAAUAAGCCCCGGCUAACUCCGUGCCAGCAGCCGCGGUAAUACGGAGGGGGCUAGCGUUGUUCGGAAUUACUGGGCGUAAAGCGCACGUAGGCGGCUUUGUAAGUUAGAGGUGAAAGCCUGGAGCUCAACUCCAGAACUGCCUUUAAGACUGCAUCGCUUGAAUCCAGGAGAGGUGAGUGGAAUUCCGAGUGUAGAGGUGAAAUUCGUAGAUAUUCGGAAGAACACCAGUGGCGAAGGCGGCUCACUGGACUGGUAUUGACGCUGAGGUGCGAAAGCGUGGGGAGCAAACA